Pelobates cultripes (western spadefoot toad) is the source of this 430-nucleotide non-coding RNA. Lineage: Eukaryota; Metazoa; Chordata; Amphibia; Anura; Pelobatidae. The record is from the annotation of a GenBank genome assembly.
ACAUCCAGUAAAUGCCCCAAUACAUCAAUUGUAACUACAUUAAAAAAAUAUUCAUGGUCUUUUUGUGGUUUUCUUCUCAUGAGUGGACAGUGAGUUCUGACACAAACAAGUGAAGUUGUCGUUUUGUAGUCUUUUUAGAAACAGGCUGAUCAAAAAACUUGACCUCGAUAUUGCCAUCGCUGAAUGCCUCCCUCCUGGUGUCUUCACUCGUAGUUUCUCUCCGAGCAAAACUUGCUUUUUGUUGAAUUAAUGUGAUACCGGAGUUUCCAGCCCUCCUUAAGGGUGAAGCGUCUUUGACACAACAAAAGCAUAUUGCAGACAAGAAAUUCUUUUUGAAAUUCUCAUUCAUAAAAGCAUAUACAAUGGGAUUGCAGAUAGAGUUGAAAAAGCCAACUAAUUGUACUAUGGCAAAUAUCAUCUUGAUUGUAAC